UGGGGAAUAUUGCACAAUGGGCGCAAGCCUGAUGCAGCAACGCCGCGUGAACGAUGAAGGUCUUCGGAUCGUAAAGUUCUGUUGCAGGGGAAGAUAAUGACGGUACCCUGUGAGGAAGCCCCGGCUAACUACGUGCCAGCAGCCGCGGUAAUACGUAGGGGGCUAGCGUUAUCCGGAUUUACUGGGCGUAAAGGGUGCGUAGGUGGUCUUUCAAGUCGGUGGUUAAAGGCUACGGCUCAACCGUAGUUAGCCUCCGAAACUGGAAGACUUGAGUGCAGGAGAGGCAAGGGGAAUUCCCAGUGUAGCGGUGGAAUGCGUAGAUAUUGGGAGGAACACCAGUAGCGAAGGCGGCUUUCUGGACUGCAACUGACACUGAGGCACGAAAGCGUGGGUAGCAAACAGG
RNAcentral lists this ribosomal RNA (403 nucleotides) under Verrucomicrobiota bacterium. RNAcentral describes it as "Verrucomicrobia bacterium partial 16S ribosomal RNA". It matches the Rfam family "Bacterial small subunit ribosomal RNA", at positions 355 to 776 of the family's 1533-position model. The record is from RNAcentral. Lineage: Bacteria; Pseudomonadati; Verrucomicrobiota.